AUUUAAUGUACAUGUACAGUAUUUAUCCACAUUUAGCGUCUGCCUCUUGUCUAAGGUAAUUUUAAAACACUUGCUAUGUUCUACAUUUUGGUGUAAGUACCAGGUACAUUUCAAAAUCUAUUUUAUUUUCUUAUAAUAUCUGUUCUAUUCUUAUUAAUCCCCCAAUAUAAGAGAGGGAGAAUCUAGAUAGUUUACCCUGAUUUAGAGACUCCAGAUAGUUUACCCUAAUUUAGAGAGAGACUCCAGAUAGUUUACCCUAAUUUAGAGAGAGACUCCAGAUUGUUUACCCUAAUUUAGAGAGAGACUCCAGAUAGUUUACCCUAAUUUAGAGAGAAACUCCAGAUAGUUUACCGUAAUAUAGAGAGACUCCAGAUAGUUUACCCUAAUUUAGAAAGACUCCAGAUAGUUUACCCUAAUUUAGAGACUCCAGAUAGUUUAUCCUAAUUUAGAGAGAGACUCCAGAUAGUUUACCCUAAUUUAGAGAGACUCCAGAUAGUUUACCGUAAUUUAGAGAGACUCCAGAUAGUUUACCCUAAUUUAGAGAGAGACUCCAGAUAGUUUACCCUAAUUUAGAGAGAACUCAAGAUAGUUUACCCUAAUUUAGAGAGACUCCAGAUAGUUUACCCUAAUUUAGAGAGAGACUCCAGAUAGUUUACCCUAAUUUAGAGAAACUCCAGAUAGUUUACCCUAAUUUAGAGAAACUCCAGAUAGUUUACCCUAAUUUAGAGAGACUCCAGAUAGUUUACCCUAAUUUAGAGAGACUCCAGAUUAUUUACCCUAAUUUAGAGAGACUCCAGAUAGUUUACCCUAAUUUAGAGAUUCCAGAUAGUUUACCCUAAUUUAGAGAGACUCCAGAUAGUUUACCCUAAUUUAGAGAGAAACUCCAGAUAGUUUACCGUAAUAUAGAGAGACUCCAGAUAGUUUACCCUAAUUUAGAGAGACUCCAGAUAGUUUACCCUAAUUUAGAGAGAAACUCCAGAUAGUUUACCCUAAUUUAGAGAGACUCCAGAUAGUUUACCCUAAUUUAGAGAGACUCCAGAUAGUUUACCCUAAUUUAGAGAGAAACUCCAGAUAGUUUACCCUAAUUUAGAGAGACUCCAGAUAGUUUACCCUAAUUUAGAGAGACUCCAGAUAGUUUACCCUAAUUUAGAGAGACUCCAGAUAGUUUACCCUAAUUUAGAGAGAGACUCCAGAUAGUUUACCCUAAUUUAGAGAGACUCCAGACAGUUUACCCCAAUUUAGAGAGACUCCAGAUAGUUUACCCUAAUUUAGAGAUACAUUGUACUCCAGAUAGUUUACCCUAAUUUAGAGAGACUCCAGAUUGUUUACCCUAAUUUAGAGAGAAAUUCCAGACAGUUUACUCUAAUUUAGAGAGAUUCCAGUAUGUUUAUGGCUAGAUCAUGUUUUCUAAAAUACAUGUAUACCUUGGUCGUAGGCAUUGUAAGAGAUAUUAAGACUAGGAGCGAAGAAUCACAAAUCAAGCCUUCUCAUGGCCCUUCUCUAGCAUCUAGUACUGUAUACUGUCCAGUAUAUAUACUUGUACAGUUUGUAUUCAUAAAUAAAAUGUUUAUAUUUUC
Long non-coding RNA from Pecten maximus, 1577 nucleotides. RefSeq lists it as uncharacterized. Lineage: Eukaryota; Metazoa; Mollusca; Bivalvia; Pectinida; Pectinidae. The transcript is spliced from 2 exons. The record is from RefSeq and is a predicted model, not a curated record.